GAAUGGAAUCACCAUCAUUAUCAAGAAGCAUUUUGUUUUGCACACUACCCCUGUUUUCUAUCUGUGCCACUGGAUGUGUGCCUCACUGAUGAAAUUCACAACAGAAAUGCUUUGGGGGUCACUGGUACUGACUCACUGAGACCUCACAGCCACUGCAGAAACUCUUGGUGCCUGCAUGGCCUGGGACCUGGCUCCUUAACAACCUCCAGUCCUAUUGGACAUUUGAGAAUCCCUGUAGUGUACAGGCCUCACCGGGAAAGGGCUUCAGGAGACUGUACUGCAGUUCUGCUGUCGUGGAUAGAGGAAAGGGUAUCAUGAAGUCAGUUAAAAAUGGAAGUGAAAAGAAACUAACACGGCAUCAGCAUGGUCAGCCUCUCAUGCUUAUCACAAAGUCCAGUCAGGUCUACAUCUCAAGCAUCCUGCAAAUCUGCCGCUGGCCUCUGCCCCAUCGGUUUCCUUUCCACCCCAGCUAUAUUAUGAAAAGAUUCACCUUGCCCCACAUUAAUGAAGCCAGCCUCGGAGGCACCUGGGAAAUAAAUGGCAAAAAUAAAGUGAUCAUGUAUGUUCAU
This 569-nucleotide long non-coding RNA is filed under the name Fukomys damarensis (Damara mole-rat). Its description in RNAcentral is "lncRNA (ENSFDAG00000021810.1)". Lineage: Eukaryota; Metazoa; Chordata; Mammalia; Rodentia; Bathyergidae. The record is from RNAcentral.